CUUUUCAAUACAGCAUUUUCCUUUUCAUGUGCCUAUCCAAAAAAGGAGAAUACUGCUGGAUUGUUUGGUUUUGGUGCUGCCAAAAGGAAAUGCAUAGAAGGGCAUGAAAAGUUUUGCUGCUCUGUCUACCUGGCUUUCCAGUGGCCUAUUUUUAAAUUACAUGCCUGGUUGCUCUGAUCCGAAGGAACCACUCUGCUCUGCUUGGAGGCAGUGCUUUCAGGAGGACAACAGGAGUUAUGUGGGCCCUUCUUUCCUGCCUGAAUCCUGUGGAGGAAGAAGCAUUCACGUUCACAUGCUAUUCCUUGUUUCAAGAUUAUUUAAGGAACCACCGCUGUUGAACUAG
Molecule: long non-coding RNA, 343 nt
Filed under: Cyanistes caeruleus (blue tit)
Lineage: Eukaryota; Metazoa; Chordata; Aves; Passeriformes; Paridae
Description: lncRNA (ENSCCEG00000012227.1)
Source: RNAcentral